RNAcentral lists this long non-coding RNA (2606 nucleotides) under Glycine max (soybean). Its description in RNAcentral is "long non-coding RNA (GMAX_LNC002436)". The record is from RNAcentral. Lineage: Eukaryota; Viridiplantae; Streptophyta; Magnoliopsida; Fabales; Fabaceae.
GUUACGGUUAUAUGCACCUUCCCGACGGCCACCGUAUCCUCCAGCACCACCACUGCGGUUGUAUCCACCGCCACUUCCGUAACCGCCACCGCCUCCACCGCGGCUUCCGCGGGACUGAGCUUCGUUCACAGUGAUGUUGCGUCCAUCAAGGUUCUGACCGUUCAUCCCUUCGAUCGCAUCCCUCAUUGAAUCCUCGGAGGCGAAGGUAACAAAUCCAAAUCCCCUGGAUCUUCCAGUCUCACGAUCGUUGAUAAUCUACACAUAAAACCACAAACGGUUCAUCAAAUUGAAAUGAAAAGCAAAACAGCACGAAAACAAAAACCAGAACCGAAUAGAAACCGAUCGAUCUUCUUCUUUGGCAAAAAGAUGAAGAUGAACGUACCUAUUGGCGUGAGUAAUAAAAGAAUCAUAUAGUAACACAAGUAUCAUAUCAUAGAACAAGUAACGCAAAUAGAUCAGAGAUCACAGAUCAGAACGGGAUGGAGAAAUUCCGGAUCCGAAUUGUGUCAGAUCAUAUGCGAUGCGGACCUUCGAUUCAACGACGUCACCGUACUGAGAGAAGGCUUUCUCCAGAUCGUAGUUGUCAGUGGCCCAAGCGAGCCCACCAACAAAGCAUCGGUAUUCAACAUCCGCAGAAGCCAUGGAAAUUUGGAAAAGAGGAUAGGAAUAAGAUUGACAUGCCCCAAGUGAUAGUCUUAUAGCAAGUGAAUUGUUAAUCAGGGUUACCGCGUGCAAGUUGGACCUUAACCAGGGUUAAAUUAGUAGCGACUUUACAGGGGGGAAUAUUUUCUCUUAUGGAGUACUAUUAUUUUUUCGGUGGUACUGUAAUGGAUAACCUGACGUGACGUGCACCACUAUUAUUGGCGUUUUUUCAGAAGGAGUUGUUACGUGUCGUGCAUGCAUGAGGGGGGCGCCACUGAAAGAGCCAUCUUCUUCCUGUCACCACUCACAACUGACACAGACACAUCGUACUUUUUCUUUUUCUUUUUCUAACAUUUAUUACUUUUUGCCACUGCAUAGACUAGCAUAAGUUUAUUGGAAGGAUAAAUAGGUGAGAAAAAAAUUAUAAUAAAUGAUUAAAUUCAGUGCCUGAAUUUAUAUUUUAUUAUCAUAUUAGUUUGUUCUUUUACUUUUUAAAUCUCAUAAAAUUUUAAAUAGAUAAUUCUUUAAAUUAUUUUUUAAUUUUACUAUUUAAUAUGAGAUAAUAAUUAAAUUCUAGGAUCAAAAUGAAAAAAAAUAUCAAAGACUUCAAUGAUUUUUAAAAAAAACUUAUUUAAGUUUUUAUUUUUUAAUUUUAAGAACUAAAAAUAACAAUAAGAUACAAAUUAAGAGAUUAUAUUCACUAUCUAGUAAGAAAAACUAUUUAGAAUUAUCUAAAACAAUCAUAAUAUUUAAAAAUAUUUAUUCAUUAUAAUUUUAAUUAGAUAAGAAUUGUCAGAUUAAAGUAUUAAUUAUAUUAUUUUAACAGGAAUUUUUGCUAAAAAGAUUAUGAAUUUUUCACUUAAGAAACAAUACUUUUUUAUUCUUUUCUAUAGUACAUUUUAACUAAAUGAACAAUUUAUAACAUUCAAAAUUAGAACGUCGCCUGUAAUUGUGUGUUUUCAGACUUCCACGUUUGUCACAUAAAUUGACGUGAGUUAUGUUCUCAAUCAAACGCGUAAGUUAUUAAAUUCUCGUAUUUUUCAACUCGAAAAUUUCAAUAUAUUUUCUUUAACAUAUUGCCUGUAAACAUUUUUAAUCCAAUUUAAUUUAUUGACAAAAUUAACAAUUACUAGUAAAGUUCUUGACAAUUGCAAGUUAAUGACAACUUUUUUCAUAUCCAGCUUACCGAAACAGGUAAACUAAUAGCCAUUCUCCAUUAAAAAUGCAAUCAGAAUAUUUUCUUCGUCCAUCGUAGAUCGUACAAAUGAAAAUCUGUUUAAUACUUCUCCGAUUAUCAUUUCAUUCAAUCGAUUGUACACAAAGAGAUAGAAAGACAGACACCCAAACCACACAACACCUAAAAUUACUGAACUUAAUCAUAAACCCUAAUCUUGUUCAUCCAGCUCUAGUUUCUCCGGCUUCCAUUGACAUCGCCACCACGAGAGUAGCGUGAACCACCGUCACCGUAACCACAAUCUCUGUCACCACCAUAACCACCCCCUCCAUAGCCUCCACCACCACGGUUAUAUCCACCUUCACGACGACCACCGUAUCCACCGCGGCUGCCGCGGGACUGAGCUUCGUUCACAGUUAUGUUACGUCCGUCAAGGUUCUGACCGUUCAUCCCUUCGAUCGCAUCCUUCAUUGAAUUCUCCGAGGCGAAGGUAACAAAUCCAAAUCCCCUGGACCUUCCGGUCUCACGAUCGUUGAUAAUCUGCACGUAAAAACACGAACGGUUCAUCAAAUUGAAAUCGAAAGCAAAACAGCACGAAAACCAAAUCCAGAACCGAAUAGAAACCGAUCGAUCUUCGCCUUUGGUAAAGAGAUGAAGAUGAACGUACCUAUUGGCGUGAGUAAUAAAAGAGAAUUAUAUAAGAAGAAGAAGAAGAAGUAUCAUAGAUCAAGUAACGGAAAAAGAUCAGAGAUCAGAACGGGAUCGUGUGCGAUGGCUGCAACAAACGGAC